This 288-nucleotide RNase P RNA is filed under the name bacterium. Its description in RNAcentral is "RNase P RNA component class A". It matches the Rfam family "Bacterial RNase P class A". Rfam says of the family: Ribonuclease P (RNase P) is a ubiquitous endoribonuclease, found in archaea, bacteria and eukarya as well as chloroplasts and mitochondria. Its best characterised activity is the generation of mature 5'-ends of tRNAs by cleaving the 5'-leader elements of precursor-tRNAs. Cellular RNase Ps are ribonucleoproteins. The record is from RNAcentral.
UUAGGAAACAGUUUGGUUACUAUAUACGAAAGUAUGUAGAGGAAAGUCCAGACAGCAUAGAGCAAGGGUGUCCAGUUUAAAUACAGGAACGCGCAAGCGCUAGUUAGAGCAUCAGAGACGACUAAAUUUUCUACGCAAAGCUAUGUAGAAGAUGGAAGGUGAAAAGGGCAAUCCUCCCCGCUGCAAUCCUAGACUGAACCGUUAUCAGGUGGCUUGCCGAGGUUCGAAUCAGGAGCAUUAGAUAGAUUACCAUUAAAACAGAAUCUGGCUUACUCGUCUCCUAAGGCC